RNAcentral lists this ribosomal RNA (253 nucleotides) under uncultured bacterium. RNAcentral's name for it is "partial 16S ribosomal RNA". It matches the Rfam family "Bacterial small subunit ribosomal RNA", at positions 524 to 776 of the family's 1533-position model. The record is from RNAcentral.
UACAGAGGUCCCAAGCGUUGUUCGGAUUCACUGGGCGUAAAGGGUGCGUAGGCGGUCGGGUAAGUCUGAUGUGAAAUCUCACAGCUUAACUGUGAAACUGCAUUGGAUACUAUCCGGCUCGAGGAAUGGAGGGGAGACUGGAAUACUUGGUGUAGCAGUGAAAUGCGUAGAUAUCAAGUGGAACACCAGUGGCGAAGGCGACUCUCUGGGCCGUUACUGACGCUGAGGAGCGAAAGCGUGGGGAGCGAACAGG